Molecule: ribosomal RNA, 252 nt
Filed under: uncultured bacterium
Lineage: Bacteria
Description: partial 16S ribosomal RNA
Rfam family: Bacterial small subunit ribosomal RNA
Source: RNAcentral
GACAGAGGGUGCAAACGUGUUCGGAAUUACUGGGCGUAAAGCGCGUGUAGGCGGCUGCGCAAGUCGGAUGUGAAAUCCCGUGGCUCAACCACGGAAGUGCACCCGAAACUGCGUAGCUUGAGUCUCGGAGAGGAAGGUGGAAUGCUUGGUGUAGAGGUGAAAUUCGUAGAUAUCAAGCGGAACACCGGUGGCGAAGGCGGCCUGCUGGGCAGUAGCUGACACUGAGGCGCGACAGCGUGGGGAGCAAACAGG